UUGACCUCGAAUCAGGCGGGACUACCCGCUGAACUUAAGCAUAUCAAUAAGCGGAGGAAAAGAAACUAACAAGGAUUCCCCUAGUAACUGCGAGUGAAGCGGGAAAAGCUCAAAUUUAAAAUCUGGCGGUCUUUGGCCGUCCGAGUUGUAGUCUGGAGAAGUGCUUUCCGCGCUGGACCGUGUACAAGUCUCCUGGAAUGGAGCGUCAUAGAGGGUGAGAAUCCCGUCUUUGACACGGACUACCAGUGCUCUGUGAUGCGCUCUCAAAGAGUCGAGUUGUUUGGGAAUGCAGCUCAAAAUGGGUGGUGAAUUCCAUCUAAAGCUAAAUAUUGGCGAGAGACCGAUAGCGAACAAGUACCGUGAGGGAAAGAUGAAAAGCACUUUGGAAAGAGAGUUAAACAGUACGUGAAAUUGUUGAAAGGGAAACGCUUGAAGUCAGUCGCGUCCGCCAGAACUCAGCCUAGCAAUCUUGCCUGGUGUACUUUCUGGUGGACGGGCCAGCAUCAAUUUCGACUGCCGGACAAGGGCUGGGGGAAUGUGGCACCUUCGGGUGUGUUAUAGCCCUCAGUCGUAUACGGUGGUUGGGAUUGAGGAAUUCAGCAUGCCUUUAUGGUCGGGGUUCAGCCCACGUUCAUGCUUAGGAUGCUGCCGUAAUGGCUUUAAACGACCCGUCUUGAAACACGGACCAAGGAGUCUAACAUGCCCGCGAGUGUUCGGGUGGAAAACCCGUGCGCGUAAUGAAAGUGAAAGUUGGGACCUCUGUUAUGGAGGGCACCGACGCCCGGACCAGACCUUCUGUGACGGAUCUGCGGUAGAGCGUGUAUGUUGGGACCCGAAAGAUGGUGAACUAUGCCUGAAUAGGGUGAAGCCAGAGGAAACUCUGGUGGAGGCUCGUAGCGAUUCUGACGUGCAAAUCGAUCGUCAAAUUUGGGUAUAGGGGCGAAAGACUAAUCGAACCAUCUAGUAGCUGGUUCCUGCNGAAGUUUCCCUCAGGAUAGCAGAAACUCAUAUCAGAUUUAUGUGGUAAAGCNAAUGAUUAGAGGCCUUGGGGUUNAAACAACCUUAACCUAUUCUCAAACUUUAAAUAUGUAAGAACAAGCCGUCACUUGAUUGGACCGCUUGGCGAUUGAGAGUUUCUAGUNNNCCAUUUUUGGUAANCAGRACUGGCRUGCHGGGDUGAACCURACGCGAGGUUAANGUGCCGGAAUUCACCGUCAUCMRGCACC
Molecule: ribosomal RNA, 1226 nt
Filed under: Hericium erinaceus (lion's mane mushroom)
Lineage: Eukaryota; Fungi; Basidiomycota; Agaricomycetes; Russulales; Hericiaceae
Description: eukaryotic LSU rRNA
Rfam family: Eukaryotic large subunit ribosomal RNA
Source: RNAcentral